CUUCUCUGCUGACGAGCGGCGGACGGGUGAGUAAUGUAUGGGGAUCUGCCUGAUGGCGGGGGAUAACUACUGGAAACGGUAGCUAAUACCGCAUAAUGUCUUCGGACCAAAGCGGGGGACCUCCGGGCCUCGCGCCAUCAGAUGAACCCAUAUGGGAUUAGCUAGUAGGUGAGGUAACGGCUUACCUAGGCGACGAUCCCUAGCUGGUCUGAGAGGAUGAUCAGCCACACUGGGACUGAGACACGGCCCAGACUCCUACGGGAGGCAGCAGUGGGGAAUAUUGCACAAUGGGCGCAAGCCUGAUGCAGCCAUGCCGCGUGUAUGAAGAAGGCCUUCGGGUUGUAAAGUACUUUCAGUCGGGAGGAAGGUGG
This 371-nucleotide ribosomal RNA is filed under the name Morganella morganii. RNAcentral's name for it is "bacterial SSU rRNA". It matches the Rfam family "Bacterial small subunit ribosomal RNA", at positions 80 to 454 of the family's 1533-position model. The record is from RNAcentral. Lineage: Bacteria; Pseudomonadati; Pseudomonadota; Gammaproteobacteria; Enterobacterales; Morganellaceae.